This is a long non-coding RNA of Pecten maximus, 816 nucleotides long. RefSeq lists it as uncharacterized. The record is from RefSeq and is a predicted model, not a curated record. NCBI's taxonomy places the organism in Eukaryota, Metazoa, Mollusca, Bivalvia, Pectinida, Pectinidae. The transcript has 2 exons.
CUCUCGCACCCAAAGCGAGAAUCAUACCCCUAGACCAACAAGCCGCUGUAACAUCUAGUGGAAAAAACGUCGACAUAUAAAACGACCGGAAGGCCUACUUUUCGUUAUUGGUGGUUUCCGGUAUGGGAAUCCUUCCGUCUGACCAUGAAGGUUCCUCCCUUUUGUUGGGUGUCAGCCUAGAUCGUUUUCAGAUUUUGCAACAAGAACUACGAUGCAAUACAUCGUAUUGAGUAAACACCUGUUUCAUUGAGUAAACACCUGUAUUGCUGUACCUGAUGAAGUAACUUAUUCACUACAAGUGUUUGAUCGCCUGGCACUGGAAUGGACAUACUUUGAAGUGUUAAUCAGGUGUUUGAACAAUGGAAAAUAAACACAAAGAAGCUAUCAGAAAGAAUUACACCUUUCUUAUAGGAAACUUGAUGCCAGAAUCUGUAGUAGACUUUCUCGUUCAAGAAGAUAUCCUCACUGCAUAUAUGAAGGAGGACAUAUGUGUAUGUAGAACAUCAAGAGACAAAAUUGUAAAAUUGUUGGAUAUUCUUACGAGACGAGGGCCUACAGCAUUUGAUGUUUUCAUCAGGGCACUUCAUGAUACAGAACAGGACUUUGUGGCAGAAAGACUCUUAACAACUAUCCAAAGUGGUCAGAAUCAACAAAAUCUCAAUGACUUAAAUAUUUGAUAAUUUUUUAAUUUUGUUUUAUUGUCUUUCACAGAUAAUAUAGUAAAAUAUAUCACACGUUAAGGAGAUAAAAGCUGUAUACUUUUAGUUAAGAGAAGUUCAACCUUAUAAUAUGCAAUAAAGUAUGGUUACUAACCAC